UACGUAGGGUGCAAGCGUUGUCCGGAAUUAUUGGGCGUAAAGCGCUCGCAGGCGGCCUGGCCAAGUCGUGCGUGAAAUCUCCCGGCUCAACUGGGAGCGGUCGUGCGAUACUGGUCGGCUCGAGGCCGGUAGGGGGGAGUGGAAUUCCGGGUGUAGUGGUGGAAUGCGCAGAUAUCGGGAAGAACACCCAUGGCGAAGGCAGCUCUCUGGGACGGUACUGACGCUGAGACGCGAAAGCAUGGGGAGCGAACAGG
RNAcentral lists this ribosomal RNA (254 nucleotides) under uncultured bacterium. Its description in RNAcentral is "partial 16S ribosomal RNA". It matches the Rfam family "Bacterial small subunit ribosomal RNA", at positions 524 to 776 of the family's 1533-position model. The record is from RNAcentral.